RNAcentral lists this ribosomal RNA (208 nucleotides) under uncultured bacterium. Its description in RNAcentral is "partial 16S ribosomal RNA". It matches the Rfam family "Bacterial small subunit ribosomal RNA", at positions 568 to 774 of the family's 1533-position model. The record is from RNAcentral.
CGCGCAGGCGGCCAGGUAAGUCGAAUGUGAAAGCCCCCGGCUCAACUGGGGAGGGUCAUUCGAUACUGCUUGGCUUGAAGGUAGGAGAGGGAAGCGGAAUUUCAGGUGUAGUGGUGAAAUGCGUAGAUAUCUGAAGGAACACCAGUGGCGAAGGCGGCUUUCUGGCCUAUUCUUGACGCUGAGGCGCGAAAGCUAGGGGAAGCGAACG